AGUGAACGCUGGCGGUAGGCCUAACACAUGCAAGUCGAACGGCAGCACAGUAAGAGCUUGCUCUUACGGGUGGCGAGUGGCGGACGGGUGAGGAAUACAUCGGAAUCUACUUUUUCGUGGGGGAUAACGUAGGGAAACUUACGCUAAUACCGCAUACGACCUACGGGUGAAAGCAGGGGAUCUUCGGACCUUGCGCGAUUGAAUGAGCCGAUGUCGGAUUAGCUAGUUGGCGGGGUAAAGGCCCACCAAGGCGACGAUCCAUAGCUGGUCUGAGAGGAUGAUCAGCCACACUGGAACUGAGACACGGUCCAGACUCCUACGGGAGGCAGCAGUGGGGAAUAUUGGACAAUGGGCGCAAGCCUGAUCCAGCCAUACCGCGUGGGCGAAGAAGGCCUUCGGGUUGUAAAGCCCUUUUGUUGGGAAAGAAAAGCAGCAGGUUAAUACCCCGCUGUUCUGACGGUACCCAAAGAAUAAGCACCGGCUAACUUCGUG
This 492-nucleotide ribosomal RNA is filed under the name uncultured bacterium. Its description in RNAcentral is "partial 16S ribosomal RNA". It matches the Rfam family "Bacterial small subunit ribosomal RNA", at positions 29 to 507 of the family's 1533-position model. The record is from RNAcentral.